This 479-nucleotide ribosomal RNA is filed under the name Priestia megaterium. Its description in RNAcentral is "bacterial SSU rRNA". It matches the Rfam family "Bacterial small subunit ribosomal RNA", at positions 202 to 673 of the family's 1533-position model. The record is from RNAcentral. Lineage: Bacteria; Bacillati; Bacillota; Bacilli; Caryophanales; Bacillaceae.
GGUUUCGGCUAUCACUUACAGAUGGGCCCGCGGUGCAUUAGCUAGUUGGUGAGGUAACGGCUCACCAAGGCAACGAUGCAUAGCCGACCUGAGAGGGUGAUCGGCCACACUGGGACUGAGACACGGCCCAGACUCCUACGGGAGGCAGCAGUAGGGAAUCUUCCGCAAUGGACGAAAGUCUGACGGAGCAACGCCGCGUGAGUGAUGAAGGCUUUCGGGUCGUAAAACUCUGUUGUUAGGGAAGAACAAGUACAAGAGUAACUGCUUGUACCUUGACGGUACCUAACCAGAAAGCCACGGCUAACUACGUGCCAGCAGCCGCGGUAAUACGUAGGUGGCAAGCGUUAUCCGGAAUUAUUGGGCGUAAAGCGCGCGCAGGCGGUUUCUUAAGUCUGAUGUGAAAGCCCACGGCUCAACCCGUGGAGGGUCAUUGGAAACUGGGGGAACUUGAGUGCAGAAGAGAAAAGCGGAAUUCCACG